This 73-nucleotide transfer RNA is filed under the name Pteropus alecto (black flying fox). It matches the Rfam family "tRNA". Rfam says of the family: Transfer RNA (tRNA) molecules are approximately 80 nucleotides in length. Lineage: Eukaryota; Metazoa; Chordata; Mammalia; Chiroptera; Pteropodidae. The record is from Rfam by way of RNAcentral.
GGUUCCAUAGUGUAGCAGUUAGCACGUCAGCUUUACACGCAGAAGGACCCGGGUUCAUGCCCCAGUGGAGCCA